Gasterosteus aculeatus aculeatus (three-spined stickleback) is the source of this 22079-nucleotide long non-coding RNA. Lineage: Eukaryota; Metazoa; Chordata; Actinopteri; Perciformes; Gasterosteidae. The record is from Ensembl.
CUUAUUUUACCUCAAACUGUGCUUAUGCAUUUUAACAUUGUAUCUACUGAAAAUACACUCAAACAGCUCAUUUUUAUUUUCCAGUUAAUAGAUCAUGUUCAUAAGCAUCUUCCCCCAAUAGCGACUCGAAUGCAGAUACCGUUCUACAAAUAUUUAAAAAAUCACACUCAAAUUGAAGUAUGGCUUGCAGUCUUUUUUCUUAGAGAAAAAAGUCCAAAUCAAAUCUACCAUGAGAGUUGAAAAGAAUUUGCUGUUAAAUGAAUUAUAUGCAUUUUUAAUUACAGACACUAAAAACUCUAGAGGCCAGUAAGCGGCUGCAUGUUGAAAUGAAACAACAUGGGAGCACUGGGAAACAAUUUUCCUCCGGAGUACGUACAAACAGAAGUAAAAGGGAAAAAAUGAGGUGGAAUGUUUUUGGGCAAGGUGACUUGUUGAUCUCAAUCACGGAUAUCAAGCUGUGUCCAAUAAUAGAAUUAGUGUACAAUUAGAUCGCACCAGCAGAGCUGCAUAUUAAGGACGCUUAUUAAUCGUCUCAAGUGUGAUCGCGAGCCCCCUGCGGCUUCCGACCGCUGCUCAGGGAGAGCGAUGACUAGGACAUGUCCUAUGUUUGUCUCCAAAGGUCGAACCCCAGCCCCCCACAUGCACUCGCUACCUGUAUUGCAGUUUCCUAUUAACAGCUUCGCCCCACCGGCCAUGUUUGUUUUCAUUAUGUACAUUGUAGGGGAUUAAUAGGGGGGAAUAGGAUUAAGCAGGCGUCAGAAACCUAAUUAAAGUAGCCCUUCAUCUUUGCUGGCGGGGGCCCCGUCUCGGUGUCGCUCUCUGCGAGUGUGUUCACUCGUCACCUCCUGCCCUCUGUUUCUCCCACGCGGCUCUAACUACCUUCAGUAUUCACAUUUUAGACGUGCACCCGUACACUCCCCUUUUUGUUUAACUCCUCGGCUUCACCCCCAUCGCUCCCGCCUUCAUUCUCGUCCCCUUUUCCUCUCAUCCUUUUCUCACUUUCCAUCAUGCAUAUUUUCGUCUCUCAGAGAGAGACAGCAAAUUUGCUUUUUGCCCCCCCCGCGCCCCAAACACACAAUACAACCAUUAAACCACAUCAGUGAUUAAUUCAUGAGCCGAAAGUGCAAUUACAUUGGUAGAAGUCUACUGGAGAACACAGCGGUUCAGCUGAGGGGUGAGCCAACAACAACUGCCAAUAUGAGGAAGGGUGAGUGCUCCUCCGUGAGGUGGAAUAGUCUCUACCUAUGCAUGUGUGUGUGUGUGUGUGUGUGUGUAUAUGUAAUCCUAAAUAAUCUGGCAAUACAAACCCAGGUAGCGCGGAGGUUGUUGAAAUGCCAGAGAGCCGCGAGUCAGUAUUCCUGGCACAGCGCUAAAGGCACAAAUAUCAUUUCCUAGCACAAUGCCUGCUAACAGGGGGAAAGACAGAGGGCCGGGAAAAAGAAAGACACAGAGGACGGAGGGAAAGAAAGGAAGAAUGAGGAAGAAACGAUCACGUGCGACAAAGCUGGAAAGGUUUGUAAGGAGCCGGGCAAGUGAGAAUGUUUCGGGGGAAGAUGUGCCGUUUGGCGUGCGUUCUGUCUUUAGAGUUGGAACAAAUGAACAACAUGAGUUCAUUCCUUACAAUUCCCUUCACCCUCUGCUCCCCCUGAUGUACAAAGACACUGGUCUGUGGAGAGACUUAUCUGGAAGCAACAGCAGCACCCUGCAUGUGUGUCUAUGUGGGUCUGUGUGUGCGUGUAUGUGACUGUACAUGUGUGUUUUUGGCAAUGUGCACGCAUUGUGAAGGCUACGGUGUGCGUGCGUUGCCUUUUCUGCCAAGAUUUCCUUGUUUGUUUUCAAGCCACUGCUUUAUGUGACACUCAGGUGGUUGAAGGUUUCAUUCCUGUGGAUUUGAGAAGGCUGUUGACACUCGUUUGUUGUGUUACGAUAUCAGUGUUUAUAAGAAGUGGACAGUCACCAUUUCGGCACUCAAUGGUUUGUGGUAUACGGUUAUGAAGCCAUUUCUUAAUAAAUAACAUGUUGGUACAUUUUUUUGUUGGAAAAUAUAUUGAACGCUGUAUAAUAACUAAACACUGGCAAAAGUCAGAUGAGUGCAGCUUUACUUUUUACAAUCCUAGCACCCACCCGUGUUCUUUUUGAUCAGUUGUCCCUGUGAUUUUUCCUGAUGUUGCUGAGAAGAACUCUGGCAGAUCGGGAAAUUGAGUUAAGUUGAUGUCCUUAAAAAGACCUUGCACACAAAACAAAAGAGAUGUGGAUCUAUACAAAGAGCUUACCACCGCAGGACAAUAAGAAAACAUAUACUAGAAAAAUACAGUCAUUUGAUGCUUUGUUUGACGGCUAGUUCUCAUCAUAAACUGUUCUACACUGCCAUACAUUUUAUCAAUGAAAAAAUGGAACACAACCUGUCUCAUUUGCAUCUCACCUGGUGGGAAAAAGAAAAAAAAGUAAUCAUCUCGGAGCGCUCCUGUGACCACACAAGAGGUUCCGAUUGAAAUAACAAAUCCAUUAAAACAAAAGCUGCCACGGUAAGUCAGUGUAAAUUGUUGUUGUUGCAUGAACAAGGAGAAGUCGAGAUGAAUAAUGUCAGGGUGGUAGUAGAUUUAGUCAGGGACCAUCUGUGGUGGAGCCCGAAAAGUCUCCAAACGCGCUGGAGGAAAAACCAGCUGCAAGCACGUAUCCGGUCUCAGUGAGCCAGUGUGUCUUAGCAUUCACGUGUGUGUGUGUGUGUGUGAGUAGGUGUGUGUGUGUAUAUAACAGUCUUACACACAUUCCAAACAGAGCGGCUGUGUUUGCAAGAAGAGAAAAAAGGAGAGCGAGAUAGCGAGUUUCCCUUUUUUGCAAGAGUAUGCGUUCAAAUGUGUGUGUGGCUGCUGAAUCACCUCCCUGUGAGACCGUGCUGGUUUGUGCAGGUGACCGGGGCGACGCGUUAAUCACAACCCCAGGCGAUGUUUCUGUGAAUAUAUGUGGAACUCCUGUGAAAGCGGGAAGAUACAGUCAACACACAAAUUUGCUGAGUUGCAUGCGUGCACAUGACUGGUUAAUAUAUGCACAUUACAUUGAACUGAGCACAGUCUCCUCCAAAAAAGGCUCCGUGAUGUAAUCUGCCCUGAUCUUGUUGAGUAAAAACCAACAGUGUCCUUCCAUGGGAUGAGACGGGCCUCAGCUGCUCCGUUUUCCUACAAGGGUCUCAAUUGGCAUUCAGAGAGGAGAGGAGGGACUCGGCUCCUAAUUAGGUUGGCUCACACAUUCCAAGAUCCAACCAAUCAAUGGUCCUCUAAUGGGCUGUCAGUCACACGACAAGGCCUGGGACAGGUCAGGGUUGCAGGAGGAAUGCCUUAAUUUCUCAACAGAAUGGGACAAAAUAGGCCAGAUAGGAGCCCGGCCAAUGGGGGCAAUUAUGGAAAAUGAUGAGGUCCAAUUGCGGGACGCGGCGCAUAAUGAGCUGCAGGAUGGUGCAUGUGGGUUACCCUGUGAGCCUUUUAAUCGUUUCAACUUUCCCGGGGUGGAAGGUCGGCCUUUGCCUGCGGCUUUCUUCCUCUUUAUGCGCCGUCUUUUAUUGUCGCAUUGUGUUUAGAGUACAGACUCAUUACAAACUUGGGCUAAUUAUAAGCGAUUUUCUCCGUCUUUUAUCUCGGUUGACACAUGCCCCGAACACCUGACGCUGAGGUAAAACAAACGACGGAAAAACCAACAGAUGCCGUUUGUGGUAUCGUCAUGUUCGUGGACAGCUUGUUUGUCUUGUCAUUUUCACAGUAGAAACAAAUGAUGUGGUGUCACUAUACGGAUGGAUUUCCAUAACUAUCAUGGAUAGAAUGGCUGUGUAUUUGCGGAGAAAGCUAUAUGUCAUUUUCUUGAGAAAAAAAAUAAGCUUCCUGUCAAAGUAGAGCCUUGUUUUCCGUCUCACUACCGACAUCAAGGCUGUUGACUUUCAUGGUUCUCCUCCCUACUUUGUCAAAAACUCGAUCUUAUUGGCGAAUGAAUUGAAAAUUCCCCCGGAGACUGCAGUUUUUGACAAUUCCACACCAGCGUUUUAUGACAACUGUGGCUCAGAUGGAAUUAAACGUUUUCAUGUAAUCAUAAGAUGGCUGUCGGGGAUUGCACGACAGCUACUGAAUAAAUUACUCGCUCAUAAAUGCAACAAUCACAUGGCAAAUACCGCUGUGAGAACAGUGCUUAAAUAUGUUUAAGCAAAGAAUUAAAUUUCAGUCGUAGGCAUUACGAUUUUAAUGUUUUUUAAGAAAGCAAUCAAUGUAAUGAUGGCAUCAUGUGAAAGGGGAUGGCCACAAACUAUUGCAGAUCACUUGAGCGGUACACAAUGUUUUAUCCAUUUUUUAGUCUCGGCCCCUUCUGGACUCCAAACAACAAAAAAGUGUUAUUGUUGCUGUAUGUGUGUUUGAUGUAUAAAUAGGCAACAGUUUGCUAAUGCGUUCUACAUAACAACUUCAUAAUGUUGUCAGUGUCGUGUCCACCUCCUUUUCCACUGCGUGAAAGUGGUCAAAAGAAGGAAAUAGAAUCCCAAAACGCUUUUGGACAGGUGGUAUGUCCUAUUUACGAUAAUCCAGAAUUAGCUUAAAAUGGCACUAAAACAUACUUGAAUCACUCUGCAAUAUAUUUGUAUUGAAUCCCAUGGACACAUCUUCUCAUAUAUAUCUUAUAUGAAUUAACCAUCAUGAAUAAUCCACUGUUUAUUCCUGCUGUAUAAAUAGUCAAUCAAAAAAGCAACAUUGUCGUAUACGACAGAAUCAAGACUCAUUAUCUUGAUAAUAAGGAACAAGUGCAAGAUAAUUGUAUUUUCAACAACUGGAAGAAGCUGAAGCGUAAUUAAAGCUUCAGAGUUUCAUUAGAUGGCAGAUGGUAGAAUAAGUGAAAAGCUUAAGAAUCACUUCCAACAUAUUCAUCCUCUUGAGUAAAACAUUCUAAAAAAUGUGCAGGAAAGAGGAGGAGGAGUGACAAGUCGCAACGCCGCUUUACCGCUGUAAGUAAUGAGGUUUUUUAUGGAAAAUGUGAUGUUCAUUUAGAGAAGCACUACAGUAACAAGACGAGCAGCAUGAGACCUUACAGCGAUCCUCUCGGCCGUGAUUCCAUUUGUGUGGGUUAUUUACUGCUGGGCCUCUGAAGCGAUCGUAUGCAAUCUUUAAUGUUUGUUCCUCAAGAUCCAGUCUGAAAGUGUUAUCGUUUCACGAGAGUCCGCUUGGUCUCAAACUCCUCGAGUUGUAUCUUUUGAAAAAGUUGCGCCGUCUUGAGUUCUCGUCUGAUAUUUCUCAAGGAGCUUAACUUCUUCAUUUCAACAUCACGCUCUUCAUUUCAUCAUCGACAUUCAAGCCUUUCAUCCGUCCUAUAUUUGACCAUUUCCAUUCAAUAUUGGCUGAUUGAUAAGCAAGAAUGCUAAACAUGUUUCAGUUGGGAACUUGCGUCUUUAAGAACAGAGGAAAGCGCAAAUUGUCACGUCCGAGAAGCGGUGCUAAUCUGGUUGUCUCGUGUCUACGUUGUCUCGUGAAUUGCUGUUUAAUUUUGAAAACUAACCUUCCUCUCGUUUCAACUUGCUCAGCCCAGUGUUUAGUUUCUAGAUCCUUUUUGUUCUCAGACUUAGGGAUUAGGGUUUUUUCCUCUACAAGGAGUGAUUUUCAUUUGCUGCCUUUUGUCAAUAAACUUUGAUUUUUGACCGUCGCCUUAGGAGUUGUGCAUUUGGUUUCAGGGCCAUUGUCCGGUCGUGACACAAACGAUACUGGAUCAACCCGAUAUGUGUUAACUAAACGCGUUACUGUGUUUUAUUUUAUGCUUCAGGGGUAUGUGGGUUAAUUCCAUGUUUGUUUCAUUACAGGGUGAAAACAUUAACCUCACUAUUCGUCACUGUGCAGCAACUGCUUUGUCUCCUUGGUAGAAAGUCCCUGGGACAGCAGAGACACAGCCUACAUUAAACAAUCCGGGAUCAAUUUCGCGACGCUGAGCUGCAAAAUGUAGAAUCAGGCUGCAGCAGACCGUCAUGGUCAGAAAGAUGUGCAUGUUGAGUUGCACAGGUUAAUGUCUCCCCGGCUAAAAGUGAGUGGCGAUAAUAUGUAGGAGCCGCUCUACCAUUAUUCCCCAUUGUCGGAGAGGAGGCUGAGCUGUGCUGAGUUGGCAGUGCUAGGUGCAGGAGAUUACAUUAAUAUAGGCCACUGUGCCCCUCUCCGAGCGUUCACAGCACUUUGCAAUGUGCAGAGUGGAGGAAGGGGUGGGCCUCUCAUCUGCGAGGGGCAGCACAGGCCAGCUGGGUAAUAACGAGAGGUCCUGCAUGCGGCUAAUAUGAGCUAAUCUGUGUCUUCUAUGAUCUAUUCCAAUCUAAUCUGCCUUCUCUUUCCCAUGUAGGCCAUUUGUCAAUGCAUUAACUUGGGACCUGCUAAUGAAGUUGACGACAGACAGGCUGCGUUCCUGCCCGGGACUAGUCUGAUGUGAUUAUGCCUUUACAGAAGGCCCCUCACUGGGUCCAGCUCCCGCUCCUCCUGCUCUAGAACACGUGCACAGUCCUAUGAAUCAGGGUGGAGCAUAAGUGAAAUGGGCAUUCUCAUUGGCCAGCUAGAAUAGCAUGUAUACGUUACUGUAUAAACAGCAAUCUUUGGCUAUUUAGGAUAUUUAAAGGGUAACUCAACGGGAGUCUCGUUCAUCCGGCUCUCCAACAAUCACUUUGCUGCAGUGAUGCACAGGUGGUUUGUAGAGGGACAAAAGCAAGAAGUAAAGAGUUGCUUUUAUUUCUCCUUUCAGCCCUGUUCUAGUCUUUGACAACUCCUGAUCCAGAGGCGGACUAGGGGGAAAAGUGGCCCGGGAGUUACUGUCAGACCAGCCCACUCAAUACACGGUGCGUUGCCCACUCAAUGCAUUACACGUAUCGACCGGUCAGUGGCCUACUUACGUUGUGUCACCAGUCGGUGGUUUCCCCCCAAAAAAAAUUUGGAUUUGCAUUUUCAUGCACCGUAUACCAGACAUCUCUCCUUUUUCUCCCGUUUUGCUGCCGGUUCGUGCUCCAAAACGGCUUUGUGCGAGAAAGUGUUGAGUAGGUUAGGGCGGUGGUGUCAAACUCAAUCACAGAGGGGGCCAAAAUUAGACAACUGCCACGAAUAUCACGAUGCCCAAUACAUACGAUACCAAAAUUCAACACAAUGCGGCGAUCAUGUCUCCCGUGCGUUCCCUCGCUGUGAGCGCGCGCUGGGCUGCCCGCCUCCUUCUCCACCAGAGAAGGCGCGAGUUUUGUCGUGAGUAUCUUUUGCAAUGACUUUUGGUACCUUUAGCAUCAGCUGUGUGACCUAUUGACCGGCGGGCCAGUUAUAAUAUCGUAUAACAUCGUAUUUACCCGCGGGCCAGACACCUAAAAUGUGAGAAUAUGAGUCAUUCCUCAUGUUUUGUGCGUUCUCAAAAUAACCACGGAUGUAGUGUUGAGGUCCGGGUGUUUCUGGACACACCCCGACCUCCUCAUGAAAAGUAUGAAGCUUCUGGUUCAAAGUAUGUGGAUUACGUCCAAAUAAAUUUUUCUUUGUUAUGUAUUAAUAACUUUUUCUUCUAUUUUCUCAUGUGAUGCAAUGCUCGCAAAUUUUAUUUGCUGCUGAAAAGGCAAUAUUUGACUCAAUUGAAUUAUUGUUUGAAUUAUGGCUGUUGGUUGUUUCCGUGCAUAUAUUGAGAGCAACCCCUUUCACAUUACAAAUUUCAUCCAUUGUUCUUAUAAGAUUAUACAAAUAGAUAAGAGCAGCUUGAAAGAUUCAUAAUAUAAGGAAUUGAAUGUUUCAUGACUUCAGCUUUGUUGAAAGCUUCACUUUUGGCUUCACGGUAUAGAAUGUGUUGCUGUUCAAGCACUCUGAUCUUCCAUGUUUAACGGGAGCAAUUACAUGACAUUUUGAUCCUGGGAUGUAAUAAAGUGUCAUUCAUGUACAGUAUGUCGUUAGUCUGAAGAAACUUGAUUGCACGGACACUCUAGGUCUCAUUUAAUCGCUGGCUCGCUCAAAUGCUCUUCCCUUCUUUCAUCCCUUUUUCCCCUCCAGCACUCCUCCUCCUUUAUUUAUCCACUCAGACUCAAUCAUUCCAUUUUUAUCUGUGAUUCCCUUCCCUCUCCUUGUGAACUCUCCGUCAAUCUCUUUUAAGAAAAAAUACUGAAUCACAGACUGAUUUUCUACUCAUGCGUCCUUCCACUUCAACGUCCCUCCUUUUCCCCUUCACUCGCAUACUUUGCUUACUCACCCAUCCAUUUUCUCCCUCCCCAUUCCUCCCCCCCCCUCUCCCGCCCCCACCUCUCCAUCUGUUCUACUUCCACUUGCUUCCUUCAUCCAUCCUUGUCACUUUGACUUCAGCUUCCUUUUGUAUUCCUUUGCCUGCUUACUCCUCUUAUCCCUCUGUGAUGCUCUCACUCCCUCUAAUGAUGCACUCUUUCCUCACCUUUCUCUUUUUCCUCCCCCCCCCCCCCCCCCCCCCCCUUUGCUCCAGCUUGCCCCAACAUCCCCAGUCUCACAUUUAUUACUCCCCCUGACUCCCGCUUCUUUCGGUACCCCCCCCCCCCCCCCCUCUACCUCUAUGCAUUUGUAAAUGUCUCUCUGUCUCUCUCUCUCUCUCCUUCCUUCCAUUCACUCUGAGCGAUGGCUCUAUUGAUUCUCUCUGUGAUGAUAUUGCCCAAGGACAACCACAGGGCAGAAAACCUCUUUAAACUUCUCCGAGUGCCUGUGUGUACAGUGUGUGUGUGUCUGUGUUCAUUGUGUGUGCGACCACAGGCUCGUUUGACUUUUAGGAGUCGUUACUACUCACAUGUCAGAAAAAACAGCCUGUGGCCUGUUUGUGUUGGGUAGAUGAGUUUGUGUGUGUGAUUUCUUGUAGGUGUGCCGACUUUAAGCUCAGUGUCUACAGGUAUCAUGAGAAGGGGGAGAAGAAGUUGAAAGAAGCGUUGUCCUCUAGCUGUCCCUCAUGUUGGGGUGUGGCCAUCAGACUCCAACUGGCUUCAUGGCCAAACAUCAGAAUCAGUCCGGGAUAAUCUCCUCCCCUCCUCUCCGCCUCCCCCGCCUCCCCCCAACCCUACUCUUCAGGCUCUUGGAGAGCAGCCGGCACUGUUGGCUUGAACAACAGGUGGACGACUGCCGUCGCAGAUGCAGAUGCUUCAAAAGUAGCCACAUUGCUAUACGCGCUUUCUGCAAUCUGUUUUAAUCGCAGGCGGGCGCGCACAGAUACACACAAGAACCGAGAUGGGGUACUUAUCUAGACCCUCAGACACACACACACACACACAUGCGCAAUCAGAUCAUAAGAGAUACCAAGAGAGGGAAUAAACUGAUAGCAGAGACUGCAAACUUUGUCUUUUUUUGCACCCUCGGUGUACAUUUAUUAAGUUACUGACAUUCAGACCCGCACAGCAGAUAUUUAUUCAAUUCACUAAAAAUGAACCUGCUGUGGUUGCUAUUGUAGAAAUUCCGCCUUACGUGCAGCUAUCCCGCAUUAGUACUGCAGGAUUGCUACAAGGAAGCAAUUUAUUUUGGUUACAGCAUUGGCCCCGUAAGUAGAGCAGUCAAAAUGUGUCUCCCCUACUUCUUCUGUCCCCAGGGGCUGCAUUUAAUACAGUUAUGUAAUGUUGAGCUGUGUAAGUAACUGUCCAAAACCCCUGAAAACCAUUGAAAACAACCACAAAUAAGAUGAAUAAGCUCAAAAGAAUUAGAAUCAUUUGAAAAGUAAUGCAGAAAAGUACACGGUGAAAGAAAAUGUGUUUUCGCAUCACAAAAUCAGUUGUCCCUGGUGAGUCCCAAAUUACCUGGAAAUAUUUCGCUUUAUUUUCCCCUAAAAGCAUCUGGACAACAACAUUUGAAUCACUUGUUAGGAGAUACGUUUCCUCUUUCUUUAAUACAUACACCCACACUCCAUUUUUAGAGUCUUGGGGGGAGACGGACACAGUUUUGACCACUGAGAGUCUCAUAAAGCUUCUAGUUAGAUGCAAUCGCCGGUUCUGAAAAGUGAAAAAAGAGUGCAGUGAAACUGUGAAUCCUUUGGUUUUUAAGAAGCCGGAUUGUACAGAAGUCUAUGGGAAAAUGACUUCUUCUACUUCUAAAUUAUAGUAGCUCAAAAAAACAUUGAACAUGAGUUUAUGGUCUCAAUCAAUCAUCUCAAUCGCUAUUUUCUAGUCUUCUUGACAAAAGCUGAUGUUCAGAUUGUAACUUAUGCUCCCAUUUAGAGCAAAUCAGACCAUAAAGCAGGUAAUGAUUUAGUGGCUGCUGAGGGUCACUUUAACCUGAUUUCAGAAAUUUGACAUAUUUCAGAUUUGGGUCCCAUUUGGUUGAACUUGUAACUACGUUCUCCUGUGUGUACGGUCCAAAAAAAUAAAAGAACCAAAAAUGCCAAACUUCAAAAUGUCCAAAAUCAGAGUGGGUGACGUCUUUGAGACCAACUUUUUGAACUAAAAUGCAAUUUUUCUUUUUACUGUUUCAAAGUGUUGAGUACAAUAUUAUUCACCGACUCACUGAGUUGUCCUGAGGCAACCAGCGCGUUAUUCUUUAGUCAUUAUUUAACAAUACCUUCCGUCCAUAAUGAUGCAUGGUUGUGUUUUUUGUAACUCCAUUAACAUUAGCGGAUGACCUUUUCGUACACUCCACACCUCAGGUGCUGACAACUUUCCUGCUUGUAUGACAAAUUGAAACAUUUCUAAGUAGGAAGGCAGGCGCAACUGUUGAGAUUGCAUACUUAUGAUGGCGGGUGAUAUACAGUAGUAGGGGGUUACGGGAUGAAGGUCUGCUUUGCGUUGAGCUGGAAAGAAAACAAGGGCGACCCGAGUCAUGUUUAAUUCGUAACACCUCCUGAGACAUGUUGUACAAUAAUUGCUCUGAUCUGCAGGCGGUUUGGCUAUUUAUCCAGGGUAAGAUAACAUAGUGUGAGGUCUAAUGGAGUAAAGCAGAGAGAAAAAUGUGUUAGAAAAGGAAAACCCUAAAUCUUUACCUGUUCACGCUGUGUCUGGCCCGCGUCCACACGCCCGCAUUCACACUCGCCCGGCUAAUGGUGUUCGCUCACACGCAAAGAUUCUGUCGCGCACAUAUGGCCAGGUGGGCCUGCAAAGCUGUGCAUGCGUAUACACUCUCCCCUUUCUAAGCCAAUAAUACAAAGUGAGAGCAUGCGUAAAUUCCUGUCGGAGGCAGCAGCUUGUCUGGUGAAGGUCAGAGCGCAGUUCCUCAGCCAGCCCGCCGUUUGACAGAUCCUCGCUUCCUCCACCUGCAUCUGUGCAUGGACCGCUCCUUCCUGUUCGCAUUUUUAUUUAUUGCUCCUGCUUCUGUCCAUUCCCCCCUUGCAGCUUCCCUUUCAUUCAUUCACCUCUCAAUUUCCUCCUCUUCCCUGCCUUUAAGUUCACCUCCAUCCACUUCCUCUGUGCUAUUCUUCGUUCGUAUUCGGAAGGUGUUUGAACCGGAACUUCCUUUGCUUUUGCGGCUAUGUGACUCUCUCCUCGGUCUCCACUCUCCUUUUAAAGCUUCUCUUUGAUCUGUAGCCAGCUUCUCCUCACUUGUCUCGCCCCUCUCCUUGUAGACCCCCCCCCCGUCUUCCUCUUCUUCUGUCACCUUCUCCGUCUGUGUCACAACCAGAAUAGUGAAAGUUUAACACAAACAUGUUUGAGUAGCAAAUGUAAAGGCUUUUCUUCCACUAAUACCAUCGCAUCACCACCGCUGUCCCCUUUCAUGGGUGCUGUGUGUGUGUGUGUGUGUCUAUCAGACGCAGAGCUAAUUGAGGUCAUUGGUGGUGCACACGCCAAAGCAGGGAGACGGCAAAAAAAAAAGAAAAAGAAGAAAAAAAGCCCAAAGCUUUGAACCUUCUCUCUGCUCAGCACACUGCCCAAAAGUCCCCCGCUCGCUCUGUCUCAUCACGCACUAAUAACACACAAACGCACACACGGGAAGGCACACACGUUUAAUUUGUGACCAAACAGAGGCUUCUAAUCCUCGGAUUUGAGGGAAGCUGUGCAUGUGUGGCCGUCUUUGUAAAUGAAUCGAGGGUUUGUAAGGUACUCCUAUGAGGUGUGCACUAGAAAUGAAAAUAAAUCUGACAACGCUGCGUCCUCUUUUAACCUGGGGGAGUUUCUGUCCUUCUGUUGGUGUCUAUAACCACACACACACACACACACACACAUGGCAAAUAAAAGCUCACCACCCCACCACAUUGCUCUAGGGACAGCUGAUGGGGACUGAUAACGCACUGAGAUGGAAGAAUAUACCAAACGGUCUGUGUUCAUUUGAAGACCGGCGCUUCCAUUCGACCCUCAGAAGUCCAGAGAAAAUCUCCCGGGACAAUUGUCCAAAGCCAAGCAACAUGUCGGGAGACACACACACAGCAAGAGCUCUGUACACAAAUGGCACUCAAGGAUUUCAGUACUUUGCAGUGGAGCUACAGGAAAUUUUAGUCAAACACUAAAAGCAGCAGAAUGAGAGGAGAGCACGUGGUACCUGAGUUGAACCAACACCCCGGGGUGCUGUUCCCACGUCACUCCAUUUACUUGUUUUCCUCUUAAAGUUACAGCCCGCCUUCCAAACACAUUCAUGUUUUGGUUUUCCCUUCACAACACUUGUCAGAUAUGAAGGCGGCAGCGUCGUGCUUUUAAUUUUUCAGCUUUUUUUUUUCUACCGUGGUUUUUUUCGUGCAUCGUAAACCUUUUUCAACCUGCUUCGGGCAGCAGCCCCGUAUUUAUUUAAUAGAGUCGCAAAAUAUUUGGGAACGUUUUGAUUAAUCAAAAGUGAAAUGAUGCAAACAGCUGAAUGUGACAGAAAGUUUCCCCAAAGUAAUCUCUGUCUUCACUCAUGUUCACUCAUCUUCCCUUCAUCACCACUCUGAUCAGAUUUUUCUUAAGGUGAUGCUGCCAGGAAUCAUACUUACUUACGCAUCAGGGACAGGAGCUUGUACCUUUGUGAUUGAUUCAUGCAAAGUGCCUGAAAUUACUCCUCACGCUUAACUCUGUUAUAGACCUGCCAAUAAAGAAUAACGGAAUUAGUUUCAUCUGCGAGCUCCAAUCUCCAUGCAUCUCCUGUAUAAGACAAUUUAGAUCAUCGAUUAGCAGUGUGCGCGAGCGAGACAACGCAUGAGGAGCACGGCACCGCAGGACGAAUGGCAGCGUAAAAUGCCGUGGCCGCGGGCACGAGGUGCCGCCAAACACCGUGACCGCCGCCAUCCGUCACACAGACAAGGCAUUAAUUACAACCAUUCACAUUAUGUCAUAGACCCGCAAGCAAUGAACACGGAUCUCACGGGAGGAAACAAAUUGACCAACACUCGCCACACAUGACCAGCACAAACGCAUCACGCUGACUUCUGAGAUACAUAACGAGACUCGCUCAUGUCGGCCGUGACUACGGUCCACAUGGAAGCCGUGGUCAAGAUCUUUAAAAAACAGAUGUUGGGCUGUUAUUGGUGAUAUAAUAUUCCUCACAUCGUCGCUAUCGACAUGCUACAAUGAAGCAAUAAUCAAUUUCCAGGCAUCAGGCCAGCUGGAAGAUGUUUAUGAUGUAUUUUGACCACCACACUGAGAGACGGAAUAAUGGCCCGCUGGGUGCGUCUGCUUCCCACUGUGAACGGAGCCUUGUAUUGAUCUGCUGGAGUGAACUCACUCUGUCAGACAAUCAGGGAAAUACGGAUCCCGAUGGAUAAAAGUUGCUUCUAAUGAGAAACGUGAUUCCAUCACGUUAGAUCUAAUUUGGAAAUCCUGUUCGUUGUUUUGUUUGGUUUCCUGUAUUGACUGAUUCAGAGGCCUUUAUAUAAACGCUGUGGAGGUGUCUGAUACAACCCAUCCAGCUAUUGACUUGUGUGCAUUGAAAAGUUCUUUAUAUUUCAUUCAUGAGCCCCCCUUCCGCCUCCAUGCCGGACCGAUUCACAGCCGGAGUUAAAGGGAAUCAAUAAUCUUGCCACGGAAAUACUUACAUCAAAGACAGAAAUUUCUCCAACUGUAAAAAAUGUAAAGUAGAUGUCAGACUGACGUGAACUCUAAUUAUUUUGCAGCAAUCCAAUGAAUUCCUGCAGAUCAGAAAUAGUUACAGCCAUUGGCUUCAUGCAGACAUGCAUUUUCACUAUUAGAGACUCAUGUUGUGUGUGCUUAACCCUAUUGGGUGUUAUGCUUUGAGGACACUACAGUAGAUAUUAUUCAUGCACAGUGUUAUAAAAGUCUGCAGUUUCGGGGCGAUUUAGUUACUGUUUAGCCAGCAGGGACGUUAGCUCGGCCCUCGUAACGCCUUGAUAACGGUCCCUCCAGGAUGAGGACACUUGAGUCUUGGGUGAUAAAUUAUCUGAAAAUACAAGGAACAACAUUUACAAGUGUGUUGUAAACAGCUUUUACGCAAGAUCCGAUUGUCACGCAAUACAUAAAGGGGAAACUAUAAAUCAUGUAAAAGCCAUAUCAUUUCCCAACGACCUUGCUUCCUCCCUUUCUUUUGCGGCCCGUGCUCUCGAUUGCACGAUGAAUACCUCUCCUCUCCCCUCUUCAAGUAGAACAGAGAACUAACUCAUCUCCUGAAAUCCCCCCUUAUUUUGACAUUUUGAGGAGGAGUGCAUGGACUGCUGAGAGGUAAUGAGAUGAUGGAUGCUCUGAUUUCUGAUCGGUUUUAAGUGCUGAGCGUGUAUUUCUUCGCAUCUAGUAGUGAGGUUGCAGAUUGUAACGCGUGCAAAAUAAAAUGACAGUAGUACGGUAGGUAUGCCCACGCAGUAGAUUUCAGGAUACUCGAACUGCCAUAAUAUAAUUUAGCUGUAUGUCCAUAUCUCGGUGAAGGUGCAGUAUAUAGGAUUGACCCCUGGAUGUGGGAAGGAUUUGUAAUACAGAGCUGAGAUAAAGCCGAUCCCAGGCCAAUGGAUCCCUCUGCAUAUAAACGGUCCACAUCAGCACCACUGACAAAAAACACACACAGCGCUCUUGCAUAUGCUGGCAUACAAUGCAUGUCGAAUCACAUAUGUGCACACACCCAAACAUGUGCAUACUGCAUCAUAUUGAAAUGAAGGGAUGCAGCCUUCCAUAUAUGGACAGCACACACACACACACACACACACACAGGCAUGCAGGGCUAAGCAGCUGAUGACCCUCGGCUAGCUUCUCUUAUCACUUUAAGCCGGUCCUGGCUUAAGGAUAAGCAAACGGAAACCACCGGAACUGACACUUUGGGUAGAUUUAGGAAAGAAAAACUGUAAUGUACAAUUUCCGCAGCCAUAAAUUAUUUACUCUGCUAUGUCACAAACCUAUAAUAGAGUUGCCUCGUGAACACAAAGUGGGAGGAUUUUGAGAUUUGAGUAUGUGGAUUGGCCAUGAUGUUUGCACGGGUUAUCAUAUUUAAAUAUAUAGUGAAUUGCACCCGGUGAGGGGAUGUGGAGUAUUUUUCCUCAAAAUGACACUUUUUAUUACAACACGCUGAAAAGAAAGUUGUCGAGGGUCUCUUUUGCCCUUGAGGUUUUACAUCUUACAUUUCUGUAUUAGACAGAUCAGUCAGUGGAUUGAAUCAGGGGAGUAAAAACUCAAAUUUCCCAGCCACUUAAAUCCCACAGAGGCAGAACUUGCCAAAGCGCCGCAGUCAUUUCAGCAGCUGGUGGUUAACUGGCAAAUCCUUUUUUCUUAGGCUUAGGGCCGCCGAGCGAGCGGAGUGGCGGUGCCACGGCGCCGCGUCUUUGAGCUAUUCAAAACACACAAAUACACACGACUGUACGGAGGGAACGGCCUCUAGAGGCGGCCGGCUCUUGUUCACGUGUGUCCCCGUGUCCACGUAGUACUGCACGUGAAUGCACUUGUGUGAACACGCGUGUCUGCAUAAUGUGCGUACACACCCACCGAAGUGGCGCUUCUGUGUGACACUCCAGCGCCAUUGCCUGGCGCCUGGCUCGGGGCUGAUAAGGACGCGAUCCUCUCCAGACUUAAAUGCCUUGAAAAUUGAAGGGACAAUAAGUGCUGUGUUGUUUUACGAUCAAUAAAGUCGCUGCAGCACAGUUGAAACAAAGAUCCCUAAAAUUGAAUUAGCAUGAUGACGGGUCCGUUGUUGUCGCAUGGGGCCACUCUAGCGAGUGCCUUUGUAACAGGUUUGCCAAGAAAGAAUGUCGGUGUUCUUAGUGAGUCUUGUAUUUAUCACUGCCGCGGAGUUAUGUGCUUUGAACUGACAGGUUGAUGCUUGAUUUAUCCACGCUGAGCCUGAAUAUCCAACAUUAAUCUCCAGUGUUGGACAGUCCCCCAUGUCUCAUUAAUUGUCAGCAAAGGCCACCUUCCCCGCGCGCUUUUAUAACAGAGGAGCAGCUAAUAUCGCCGCGGCUGCUUUCUGCGGUUCUGUAAACAACAGGCCCCAUUUGUCAUCGCAGUUGUACUCCAUCAGAUACCAAUCCAUCUCCCCUUCCUGAAAUACCAACUGGUUCUCUCUAUUUCACCAAGCAUCAUGUGAGGGUGCCUUUCUCUUUCUCCUCCACAUCCGUCCUUUGCUCCCCUCCACGUUAACUUCUUUUGUCUCCCCACGAUCCUCGCUGGCCGAGUUCAAGCGGUGAAUUAGUAAAGUCCUUGAGAAACCCUGAAUCAGACUGAUUUGGUGUCGGCUGCGUGGCCCUCCAUGUUCUCCCCAUGUCUGCGUGGGUUCUCUCCGGGUUCUCCGGGUUCCUCCCACAGCGCAAAGACGUGCUCUGGGGAUCAGGUUAAUUGGUGCCUCUAAAUGGUCCGUAAGUGUGCAUGUGAGUGUGAGCGGUUGUUUGUCUCUGUUGUCAACCCUGCGAUUGACUGGAGACCAAUCCAGGGUGUAGCCCGUCUCUCGGCCCCCCCGUGACCCUGCAUGAAGAAUAAGCGGCUUAGAAAAUGACAGACUGACAAACAUAACAAUGCAAACUAUACACACUACAAACGCAAACGAGGUAGGAAGAGAUUAAACGCAAUUUGCAAACAUUUCAAGUCACUAACAAUUGUAUAAAUUAAAUUAAACUCUGAACCUGUUUUGCCCAAGUUAUUAUUGGUUUGUUUACAAAUGCACUAUUAUGAUGCAUUUAUUAGUUACAUCCACAAAAUAAGGAAAGGUAAACCGAUAUGCUGCAGUACUGAAAAAGUGUGGAUCUUUAGUUUUUUUAAAAGCCGGUUACCUGAUAAAAAAAGGUCCUUGAGGUUAAAAUAGAAAGUCCGAUGUCUUAACACGUCCAGCCUGUGUUUGAGCCAAUUGAGAACUGGUCAUACCUGGUCGGUAAAAUCUAUUACAGAAACAAAGAGAGGGAGGAAAUGAAGAAUCAACCAAUACCAAUACUCGUUCCGCUGCUGCUGCGAGCUCUCACUCCUCCUCUCUGCAGGUUGUUUGACGGACAAGCGUCUGCAAUUAUAUAAAAGGUGCAGUGAAACGCGUCGCCCGUCUUUGUCACGCCAACCUCGCUCCGGUGCCAGACGCGGUUGGCGUGACAAACGACCCUGGGGCGUGCCAGCCAGAGCAACGAGGGGCAGGGAGAGGGAGGGAAGGGUUGGGGCCGUUUUGAUAUUAAGAUGAUGGGGCCGGCGCUAUGCCGCGGCCCGGAGCCAGAUUGCUUCUUCAGAGGAAUGAAUUAAGCUCAACGUCCCUCCACGGGAGACCGGAAGUUAACAGAGUGAAAACAAAACACACAGGUGCUGCUGUUCACGCGGAAAUGAUUGAUGAGAUGCUAGAUCGGGAUUUCAUUUGGCUGAAUUACGCAGGCCUGUCCUGAAAUGACAGUAUAGCAGCUCCAUGCUGCAUUGUUUGCUAUUCGCCUUUGAGCCUGGUAUGUUUCACGUAAGACCUGGCAGCAGGCUGUGUGUGUGUGUGUGUGUGUGUGUGUGUGUGUGUGUGUGUGUGUGUGUGCUUGUGUGCGUUUUAAUCUCCAUUUAUCCAGGGAAGGUUUGCUCAGCACUCGGGCUCUUUUUGCAGUCAACCUCAGCUUCACAUUUCUAUAGUUAAACAUUCCCAUCGAGGCAUUUUCAAGAACAAUUAAAGUUGUAAACUGUCGAAUACACAACUAAUAAAUGCUUUGGGACAUUUUGAUAGUAGCUGUUAUGGGAGAAUAUAUACUUUUUAAAACUUUUUACUGGCUAUCCAAGAUCAUCUGGCGGCGACUAAACGCAUUCAAAAUGAGACAUUAUGCAAUCAUUGCAGUCACUUUGCGACAGGCCUGAAGGGAGCGUGUUUUUAUUAGCUGGAACUGAGGGACAAAACCAGUCUGAUCUUAAAGCGUGUCGUGGAAAAAGUCAUUAGGAUUAAAGGCCCAAUCAGAUGCUAAUUAGCCGAUCUUGGGGGACAAGCUGGGUUCUUGUUUUCCUGUUACAGUCGGAGCCAGACAUGCAAGACAGGAAGGGGGGGGGGGGGAUUCAUUCACACAUGUCCACGCUGUGUGCAUGCACGCAAACGCAGACGCACACAGGCGGCAUAAGAGGGCAGGUGUACUAGAUGCUCCGCCAUGGCUGACUGACUAGCUGACUGGCAAGGUCACAUAGAUUUGGGAUGAGUAUGCUCGGCAUCACCAAACCCACCGCUGACAGGGGAGGAGGAGGAUGCACAUGCACACUUUUGCAAACGCAGAAGCCUGUGGGGAUCUCGCUCCCCCUCUUGCGCACACACAGUCACUUCCAGGCACAAACAAACAAACAGACACACACACAGAAAGGCACAAGGGCAAAGAAGCCUCCAUGAUUAAAUUGGUUUAUUUAAGAGGGAAAGCGGGGUUGGCAGUAAGGGAGCAAAGGCAGAUAGGGGGUAAAUACAUUUAAAAUGCAUUUCUAUGUUGAUGCAAACACGUGGAAUAGGUUGCAAUAUAUGCACGUUUCCAUGCAAAGAAGCAGGAUUAAAAACGGCAGUUGUAUCAAAGUGAGAAAGCACUGAUAAGAAGGAGGGCUGAAAAAUAAAUAUUUGUAAGUAAUCGACAUACAGAGCUCAAGCACAUUACAGUAACAUAUAGACACAAGCACACGCACGCACACACACACACACACACACAGCUCCAGUGACAGUAGCACGCUAACCCGGUUCCCAACUGCCUUCUCAGCAGGCGGCUAAACCACAUUAGCAGAAACAAUGGAGCACUCAAUCUCCUCCACGUUCCCAGAGAGGGGUAGAGGGGUGAGAAGAAAAAGAUUUUUAAUAUUUUAAUAUACGCGGAGAGGCUGCGGCUUUGGCUUGACCCGGUUUCCAAAUAUGACUGUGUCCGUCAGCUAAUUGGGGAAUAUCACGGUACAGAGCCAGUGAAUAAGGAAGGAUCCUUCUCGGCCAUUGACCCACAACCAUUGCAGUUAACCUAAUAUGAAAGAUAAAUAAUGAAAUGCACCUCAGGGGCGAUCCUGGAACGGUAGACGCAGUGUACCAGUUGAUUCGAACAGACCAGGCACAGCUGUUGCGGCAGCCUGAAUGAAGGAGGAAUCUGUCCCUCCGUCUUCCAGCACGACCCACUGAGUGUUUGUGGAAUGAACUCCUCACAUUGGCACAUGGUAGUUUGCCCCGUUCAUCUCACAGUUGUUGUUAAACCUCCGAACCAUCCAAGGCGGGAAAGAGCUCUCUCCAUUAAGCUAAAUUACACUUGUAUAUCUAAUAAAUGCCUAAAGACGUUUCAGAGCUUUUUGAUCAGUUUUCACAAGGAGGUUAAAAAGAAUGUAGCACACAUUUGGCUGUUGAAUGCUGGCUGUUGUUAGCUGCAGGGAAUUCAGAGCACAGUGACUUUAUCGGGCUGAAACUGAAAAUGAGAUUGAUGGAAGCAGCGAGAGAGAACCAAACACUAAAGGUGUGAGCCGUAAAACCAAAGCGAUGAGCUGAAAGUUAGUGAAACAUCACCGAGCUGAAGGUCACUGCGGAGCUGAUAUUCUUACGAUGUGAUAUCCUUAGUGGGUUCAUCAUCUUUCACACAUAAUCCCCUGACCCAUUGUUACGGACAAUGCUAAUUGAAAGUUCAAAUGUUUAAGGAGAUAGUCCUGCACUUAUUUCCCCUCUUGCGAUAACGUUUAACUGAAGGAGCAGGAGUCUGUCUUAAGAUUGGCUUAGCACAAAGAAUGUAGGCGGAAUAAGCCGCUAAACUUGCUCUGCUCAGAGCGUCCUGUUAAACGGACAGUUUAAGUGUUUUGUCAUUUAUUUAACCUCCAGAUCAACACUAGAUGGAUGAUUUGAGAUUCAGGGAUAAGUUAUGUGCCGUAACUCUUUCUUGGCAAACUUCUGACUGCACUGCAUCUCAUGCAUCUCAAUGUUUUGCUGUGACCGUACAGUACGGUUCAGCAUGAUCCUCCUUUAAAAUAAAACAAUUCGUACCCGAUAUAAAAUGAAUACGUGUAUUUCCCUAAAUGGUGAACUAUUACUACACUUUGCACACAUGGCCCAUGUUAAACCCGGCACUGCAGAGCCUCUCAUCAAGAUGAUGUACAAGUCACGAGGCAACUCCCUUGCUCUCUCUCUCUCUCUCUCUCUCUCUCUCUCUCUCUCUCUCUCUCUCUCUCUCUCUCACUGCCCAUCUCCUAUAUUAGAUAAUGCACAGCCCACCAUGUAAAGAGCAAUACAUUAUUCUAUUCUUGGUGACAACAGAGGAGAAAGGGGGAGAGAAGGAGGCUUAUAAAGAGCAGAAUGAUGAGGAGGCUAAUUUAAGCAGUUUGGAAAUGCUGGAGAGAGAAAGAGAGCAGAGAGGGGGGGUAAUGGGAAUAAGUGUAUGUGGUCAGGUGCCAACUGUCGGGUGGUUUAAAAUGCGUUUAUAGGGGAAGAAAAAGAACACGUUUUAGUGCAUGUAUUUUGGAAAACAAAAUGCCCCCUACAUAAAUCUCUCCCCAGCACUAAUGAACUAUUACGAUUACCCAGAGUAUACUCCCCGUGUUGACAGAGGCUCCACUCCUCAGUCCCAGGGGGCCAGAUUGAGUUAUGCAGCUCCUUCUUUUUCUCCCUCCUCCCCUGCUUCUUUCUGCCUUUUUCCCCACUCCUAACCCUGCUUCUCUCAUUCAGCCAUAUGGGGAAUGACACCCGUAUCUCUCAUCCUCUCCCACAGUGCAACGGGGCUGUGCGACUGUUGCGUUCUGCGGGUUCCGUAGUUAGCAGGGCCUGUGGUGAUGUAUUGAGCGUAAUGGCCAACAGUGUUUGUUGAGAUUAAUUGAUACUAAUGGCUAACGCAGUUAGCGGUGAGUGAUGGCUGCUCCACUGCAGACACACACUGGAGAAUUGGACACAAAUCAAGUUGCGACUCGGCUUCCACUGCAGCAACGCGCGCAGUCUGUCCUGUCAACCGCAGAGGCAUGUGAGACAAAAGAGAUGUGUGCGGGACCAUAAAGCAGCACUUUGGCCACUCGUUAGAUGCUUUAUUGGUGGAUUCUGAUCCAAAUUGUGACAUCCACAGUUUGACACAUAAUUGCUUGAAAAUUAUCGUUCGUGUUUAAUUGAUUCUGAAGUAUUAGCUCCAUUAUAAAGUGUGUGGGGGGGGGGGGGGGGGUGCACCCACAGUUUUAAGUAAAGGAACAAAACACAAAAAACGAUGGGCAUCAUCUAAAAAGUUUCCUCCUCUGAAAAAUGAAGAUGUGAUACAAAUUUUUAAAAUGCAAAAGUCAGCAUGGCAUUGCAUCCGGGAUGGUGAACAGCAGCUUUCGAUUAUGAAAGGAACUGAUGUGAACGUUGCAUAUGAAUGUUGCGAAAGAAGAUGGAAAUUUAAUCCGUCUUAAUCGUGCUUGCAAAAUCCAGACAAGAGUUGCCACCUUUUCUUGCCUCAGCGGGGACGGGGGUACGCUGCUUCCUCUUGCCAUGUCUCCUCCUGGUGUUGAGGAGGUCCCAGAGCUCGAGACAAGCUCUUUGGUAGCUCUUUGGGCCAAAAUCAAGGUUCGACUUGUGCUGCCAAACCCACUUGUCACGUCCAAGUAAUCAGAUCCCUGCCCCAAAGACGAGUCUCCUGAGUCCUUUGGUGGUCGUGUCACGUCGGGGUGGCGGAAGUACUGAUAAAGGUACUUUUAUCAAAAGUUGACAGGUAUCCGGAACUCACAAACCGGGUCAUGACAAUCAAAGUAGCAAGAUUCGAUGACGUGACAGAAUUGAGGAGCCGGGACUGGAGUCGCGGUGAAGAAUUGGGGAGCCGGAGUUGGGGGCAGAAUGCUCCAAAGACGGGUCUGCUGAGCCCUUUGGUGGUCGCAGGCGUUGAAAUGCAGGAGUCAGGGGCAAGAAUCGAGCAGACGG